This is a small nucleolar RNA of Camelus dromedarius (Arabian camel), 96 nucleotides long. Its record names the gene SNORA72. It matches the Rfam family "Small nucleolar RNA SNORA72". Rfam says of the family: U72 is a member of the H/ACA class of snoRNAs. The snoRNA gene is located in intron 4 of the ribosomal L30 protein gene in human, mouse and chicken. NCBI's taxonomy places the organism in Eukaryota, Metazoa, Chordata, Mammalia, Artiodactyla, Camelidae. The record is from Ensembl.
AAGUUAAAAGUAAAAGCAAACAAACCAACCGACCAUGCAUGUGUGCCAGACCUACUUCUUUACCUGGGUCUGGUUUUAUAAAUGUUGGUGAUAAAC